Triticum dicoccoides is the source of this 1352-nucleotide long non-coding RNA. RefSeq lists it as uncharacterized. NCBI's taxonomy places the organism in Eukaryota, Viridiplantae, Streptophyta, Magnoliopsida, Poales, Poaceae. The transcript is spliced from 2 exons. The record is from RefSeq and is a predicted model, not a curated record.
AUCCCAUCCCACCUUAUCCUCACCUCAGCCACCCUCUCCUCUCUCUCUCCCCCAUGCUCCACCACCGCACCACCUCCCCCGUGCCGCCGCACCAACUCCCUUCACGGUGCCGUCCCCACCACCUCGCGCUCUUCCACAUCCCGCAGCCAUGGCGCGGCCCCCUUCCUUUCCCUUCCCUGACCGGCCACCCACCCCCUCCCGACGCGUCGCCCGGCCGGCCACCCACCACCUCCCGACGUGCCACCCGGCCGGAUACCCACCACCUCCCGACGCGACGCUCGGCAUGUGACCCAGCACCUUUCGACGCACCGCUCGGCCAGCCACCCAGCACCUUCCGACGCGCUGCCCGGCCACCGCCUCUCCACGCGCCACCCGGCAGGCCACCCAUCCCCUCCUGAUGCACCGCCGGGCCACCCCCUCCCCAUGCGCCGCCUGCCCACCCCCUCCCCACACGCCAGCCGCCGAUCUGCGCCGCCGCCACGCAGGACGGCCAGAGGAACACCGGAGCUGGGCCACCCUCCUCUCCCUCCUCUCCUUUUACCUCCUCACCGCACCCUCUGAACUCGCUCGUGAACGCAGGUGUCGCCUUGGGCAUCUCAAAGCUUUCCCCACCCUGCCUCCGCUCUAGAUCCGGGUGUCACCGUACUUUUCGCGUCGAAUCCGGACGCCAUCCCCCAAGACCCCCUACCUCCUCGUCGGUCCAUCCUCUACUCACCGGCUUCCUUGUCCCCAUCGAUGAGGGAUCCAACAAAACCUCCCUCGACGAGCUCGCUUCCCCGGCUACCACUCCCACCAGCGCCACGCAGUCCAGUACGUGGGUGCACGCAGCACGCCCAUGGUUGAUGCAGUGUGGCAGGGUGGCAGAUGCAGUGCGGCACUCACGGUCAUGCGUGUUCACCGGCGUGGUCGCUAUAUAUUUCCACAAGAGAUCAAGGUCAACCGCAGCGACGACGCCCCGUGAAGUUCGGAAGAGGAUUUUUCGCGAGCAUGCAGUGCAAAAUCACUUUUUGAAAAUGUUUUGAUGUGGUCGCAGCCAUGGGACGCCGGCUUGAUUCAGAUUACCUAUGGGGGAGAGCAGUAGCACACAUGUACUAGUUCAGAAGCAUUUUAUUUUUAUUUUUUCAGACUUGUUUGUCAUUUCUCUCCAAUUCUGCAUUAGAGUACCUUGACAUGGCCACACACUUGUUUAGUUGGACAAGUCGUGGUUUCUUGUGUUGUGCAGUUCGCAGGUCCUGCUGGAGACGUUCACUUAACUGCCGUUGCCAAUUUUUAUUUUAUAAUUGAGGGUUGCCCAUGUUAAAUUUCAGGGCUAGUUUGUAAGCCCGUUGAAAACGAUGCAGUUCGUUGUGACA